UAUAUUUACGAUACAUGAAGUCGUUUUAUGUGUAGUAUAUUUACGAUACAUGAAGUAGUUUUAUGUGUAGUAUAUUUACGAUACAUGAAGUAGUUUUAUGUGUAGUAUAUUUACGAUACAUGAAGUAGUUUUGUGUGUAGUAUAUUUACGAUAGAUGAAGUAGUUUUAUGUGUAGUAUAUUUACGAUACAAUGAAGUCGUUUUGUGUGUAGUAUAUUUACGAUACAUGAAGGAACUGUGCUCAUGAACAUAUGACAUCUGUAAUAGCCUCUGUAAUAGCCUCUGUAAUAGCCUCUGUAAUAGCCUUCUCGGUGAAUAAAUCCGGGAUUCGAUCCGAUGUAGCUCACUUGACAUUUGAUUCUUGGUAACUUCCGAUUUGACAUGUUCACCGAUCUCCGCCAACAGUGAAAUAUUGCUUUUAAAGAGGUGCAAUCGUAGCCUAAUUGUGCAAUUGGAUUGAAUCCCUGCCUAAAUGUAUUUAUUCAGAGAAAACUAGACUAGAUGUUGCACUAGUGCUUCUUAAAAAAAGCAGUUAACGAGACAAACUCGACACAUUGUCAAAACACAGUGUUUAAUAGACAUUACAUAGGCAGUCUGAUGAGAGGAGUACUAACCACUGAUCCAAGGUCAGAUGUUACCAGUAGAUGACUAUAAGGGAAACUACUUCAACCGUACUAACCACUGAUCCAAGGUCAGAUGUUACCAGUAGAUGACUAUAAGGGAAACUACUUCAACCGUACUAACCACUGAUCCAAGGUCAGAUGUUACCAGUAGAUGACUAUUAGGGAAACUACUUCAACCGUACUAACCACUGAUCCAAGGUCAGAUGUUACCAGUAGAUGACUAUUAGGGAAACUACUUCAACCGUACUAACCACUGAUCCAAGGUCAGAUGUUACCAGUAGAUGACUAUUAGGGAAACUACUUCAACCGUACUAACCACUGAUCCAAGGUCAGAUGUUACCAGUAGAUGACUAUUAGGGAAACUACUUCAACCGUACUAACC
Oncorhynchus keta (chum salmon) is the source of this 1004-nucleotide long non-coding RNA. RefSeq lists it as uncharacterized. The record is from RefSeq and is a predicted model, not a curated record. Lineage: Eukaryota; Metazoa; Chordata; Actinopteri; Salmoniformes; Salmonidae. The transcript is spliced from 3 exons.